RNAcentral lists this ribosomal RNA (2926 nucleotides) under Escherichia coli. RNAcentral describes it as "partial 23S ribosomal RNA". It matches the Rfam family "Bacterial large subunit ribosomal RNA". Lineage: Bacteria; Pseudomonadati; Pseudomonadota; Gammaproteobacteria; Enterobacterales; Enterobacteriaceae. The record is from RNAcentral.
GGGUUGUGAGGUUAAGCGACUAAGCGUACACGGUGGAUGCCCUGGCAGUCAGAGGCGAUGAAGGACGUGCUAAUCUGCGAUAAGCGUCGGUAAGGUGAUAUGAACCGUUAUAACCGGCGAUUUCCGAAUGGGGAAACCCAGUGUGAUUCGUCACACUAUCAUUAACUGAAUCCAUAGGUUAAUGAGGCGAACCGGGGGAACUGAAACAUCUAAGUACCCCGAGGAAAAGAAAUCAACCGAGAUUCCCCCAGUAGCGGCGAGCGAACGGGGAGGAGCCCAGAGCCUGAAUCAGUGUGUGUGUUAGUGGAAGCGUCUGGAAAGGCGCGCGAUACAGGGUGACAGCCCCGUACACAAAAAUGCACAUACUGUGAGCUCGAUGAGUAGGGCGGGACACGUGGUAUCCUGUCUGAAUAUGGGGGGACCAUCCUCCAAGGCUAAAUACUCCUGACUGACCGAUAGUGAACCAGUACCGUGAGGGAAAGGCGAAAAGAACCCCGGCGAGGGGAGUGAAAAAGAACCUGAAACCGUGUACGUACAAGCAGUGGGAGCCUCUUAAUGGGGUGACUGCGUACCUUUUGUAUAAUGGGUCAGCGACUUAUAUUCUGUAGCAAGGUUAACCGAAUAGGGGAGCCGAAGGGAAACCGAGUCUUAACUGGGCGUUAAGUUGCAGGGUAUAGACCCGAAACCCGGUGAUCUAGCUAUGGGCAGGUUGAAGGUUGGGUAACACUAACUGGAGGACCGAACCGACUAAUGUUGAAAAAUUAGCGGAUGACUUGUGGCUGGGGGUGAAAGGCCAAUCAAACCGGGAGAUAGCUGGUUCUCCCCGAAAGCUAUUUAGGUAGCGCCUCGUGAAUUCAUCUCCGGGGGUAGAGCACUGUUUCGGCAAGGGGGUCAUCCCGACUUACCAACCCGAUGCAAACUGCGAAUACCGGAGAAUGUUAUCACGGGAGACACACGGCGGGUGCUAACGUCCGUCGUGAAGAGGGAAACAACCCAGACCGCCAGCUAAGGUCCCAAAGUCAUGGUUAAGUGGGAAACGAUGUGGGAAGGCCCAGACAGCCAGGAUGUUGGCUUAGAAGCAGCCAUCAUUUAAAGAAAGCGUAAUAGCUCACUGGUCGAGUCGGCCUGCGCGGAAGAUGUAACGGGGCUAAACCAUGCACCGAAGCUGCGGCAGCGACGCUUAUGCGUUGUUGGGUAGGGGAGCGUUCUGUAAGCCUGUGAAGGUGGCCUGUGAGGGUUGCUGGAGGUAUCAGAAGUGCGAAUGCUGACAUAAGUAACGAUAAAGCGGGUGAAAAGCCCGCUCGCCGGAAGACCAAGGGUUCCUGUCCAACGUUAAUCGGGGCAGGGUGAGUCGACCCCUAAGGCGAGGCCGAAAGGCGUAGUCGAUGGGAAACAGGUUAAUAUUCCUGUACUUGGUGUUACUGCGAAGGGGGGACGGAGAAGGCUAUGUUGGCCGGGCGACGGUUGUCCCGGUUUAAGCGUGUAGGCUGGUUUUCCAGGCAAAUCCGGAAAAUCAAGGCUGAGGCGUGAUGACGAGGCACUACGGUGCUGAAGCGACAAAUGCCCUGCUUCCAGGAAAAGCCUCUAAGCAUCAGGUAACAUUAAAUCGUACCCCAAACCGACACAGGUGGUCAGGUAGAGAAUACCAAGGCGCUUGAGAGAACUCGGGUGAAGGAACUAGGCAAAAUGGUGCCGUAACUUCGGGAGAAGGCACGCUGAUAUGUAGGUGAAGCGACUUGCUCGUGGAGCUGAAAUCAGUCGAAGAUACCAGCUGGCUGCAACUGUUUAUUAAAAACACAGCACUGUGCAAACACGAAAGUGGACGUAUACGGUGUGACGCCUGCCCGGUGCCGGAAGGUUAAUUGAUGGGGUUAGCGGUAACGCGAAGCUCUUGAUCGAAGCCCCGGUAAACGGCGGCCGUAACUAUAACGGUCCUAAGGUAGCGAAAUUCCUUGUCGGGUAAGUUCCGACCUGCACGAAUGGCGUAAUGAUGGCCAGGCUGUCUCCACCCGAGACUCAGUGAAAUUGAACUCGCUGUGAAGAUGCAGUGUACCCGCGGCAAGACGGAAAGACCCCGUGAACCUUUACUAUAGCUUGACACUGAACAUUGAGCCUUGAUGUGUAGGAUAGGUGGGAGGCUUUGAAGUGUGGACGCCAGUCUGCAUGGAGCCGACCUUGAAAUACCACCCUUUAAUGUUUGAUGUUCUAACGUGGGCCCCUUACCGGGGUUGCGGACAGUGUCUGGUGGGUAGUUUGACUGGGGCGGUCUCCUCCUAAAGAGUAACGGAGGAGCACGAAGGUUGGCUAAUCCUGGUCGGACAUCAGGAGGUUAGUGCAAUGGCAUAAGCCAGCUUGACUGCGAGCGUGACGGCGCGAGCAGGUGCGAAAGCAGGUCAUAGUGAUCCGGUGGUUCUGAAUGGAAGGGCCAUCGCUCAACGGAUAAAAGGUACUCCGGGGAUAACAGGCUGAUACCGCCCAAGAGUUCAUAUCGACGGCGGUGUUUGGCACCUCGAUGUCGGCUCAUCACAUCCUGGGGCUGAAGUAGGUCCCAAGGGUAUGGCUGUUCGCCAUUUAAAGUGGUACGCGAGCUGGGUUUAGAACGUCGUGAGACAGUUCGGUCCCUAUCUGCCGUGGGCGCUGGAGAACUGAGGGGGGCUGCUCCUAGUACGAGAGGACCGGAGUGGACGCAUCACUGGUGUUCGGGUUGUCAUGCCAAUGGCACUGCCCGGUAGCUAAAUGCGGAAGAGAUAAGUGCUGAAAGCAUCUAAGCACGAAACUUGCCCCGAGAUGAGUUCUCCCUGACUCCUUGAGAGUCCUGAAGGAACGUUGAAGACGACGACGUUGAUAGGCCGGGUGUGUAAGCGCAGCGAUGCGUUGAGCUAACCGGUACUAAUGAACCGUGAGGCUUAACCUUACAACGCCGAAG